AGAGUUUGAUUCUGGCUCAGAACGAACGCUGGCGGCGUGGAUAAGACAUGCAAGUCGAACGAGAGAAUUGCUAGCUUGCUAAUAAUUCUCUAGUGGCGCACGGGUGAGUAACACGUGAGUAACCUGCCCCCAAGAGUGGGAUAGCCCCGGGAAACUGGGAUUAAUACCGCAUAAAAUCGCAAGAUUAAAGCAGCAAUGCGCUUGGGGAUGGGCUCGCGUCCUAUUAGUUAGUUGGUGAGGUAACGGCUCACCAAGGCGAUGACGGGUAGCCGGUCUGAGAGGAUGUCCGGCCACACUGGAACUGAGACACGGUCCAGACACCUACGGGUGGCAGCAGUCGAGAAUCAUUCACAAUGGGGGAAACCCUGAUGGUGCGACGCCGCGUGGGGGAAUGAAGGUCUUCGGAUUGUAAACCCCUGUCAUGUGGGAGCAAAUUAAAAAGAUAGUACCACAAGAGGAAGAGACGGCUAACUCUGUGCCAGCAGCCGCGGUAAUACAGAGGUCUCAAGCGUUGUUCGGAAUCACUGGGCGUAAAGCGUGCGUAGGCGGUUUCGUAAGUCGUGUGUGAAAGGCGGGGGCUCAACCCCCGGACUGCACAUGAUACUGCGAGACUAGAGUAAUGGAGGGGGAACCGGAAUUCUCGGUGUAGCAGUGAAAUACGUAGAUAUCGAGAGGAACACUCGUGGCGAAGGCGGGUUCCUGGACAUUAACUGACGCUGAGGCACGAAGGCCAGGGGAGCGAAAAAGAGUGGAUACCCCUGUAGUCCUGGCGGUUGUCGGUGCGCGCUUGGUGUGCGGGGGAUCGUCCCCCUGCGUGCCGGCGCUGGCGCGUUUUGCGUGCCCGCCUGGGGGGUGCGGUCGCUCGAUUGUUUCUCUUCGAGGUUGGCGGGGGCCCGCGCCCGCGGUGGUGUGUGUGGCUUUUUUCGUUGCGGCGCGGGGGGCCUUCCCUGGGCUUGGCUUGUGUUGUGCUGCAUGUGUGGGCAUGCGGCUCUUCGGUGGCGUUGCUCUGGUGCUGCGUGGCCGUCGUCUGCUCGUGUCGUGGGGUGUUUGGUUGUGUCCUGCCCCGGGCGCGGCCCCUGUUGCCUGUUUCCUGCCCGUGGGGGUGGGGGGUCUGGCGGGGCUGCCCCGCUCUUCUGGGGGGGGGGUGGGGGGGGCGUC
Molecule: ribosomal RNA, 1158 nt
Filed under: uncultured bacterium
Lineage: Bacteria
Description: partial 16S ribosomal RNA
Rfam family: Bacterial small subunit ribosomal RNA
Source: RNAcentral